Molecule: long non-coding RNA, 153 nt
Organism: Thalassophryne amazonica
Lineage: Eukaryota; Metazoa; Chordata; Actinopteri; Batrachoidiformes; Batrachoididae
Exons: 3
Source: RefSeq, a predicted model, not a curated record
UGUUGUGUCUUCUCUGCACCAGGUGCAGUGAACACAUCACGCCUGUUCUGUCAUCUCUGCACUGGCUUCCAGUCAGUUAUUGCAUUGAUUUUAAAAUCUUGGUCAUUGUAUUUAAAUGCCUGAAUGGUUUGGCCCAACCUUAUCUAUCUGAGC